This 433-nucleotide ribosomal RNA is filed under the name uncultured bacterium. Its description in RNAcentral is "partial 16S ribosomal RNA". It matches the Rfam family "Bacterial small subunit ribosomal RNA", at positions 29 to 507 of the family's 1533-position model. The record is from RNAcentral.
AACGAACGCUGGCGGCAUGCCUAACACAUGCAAGUCGAACGAGACCUUCGGGUCUAGUGGCGCACGGGUGCGUAACGCGUGGGAACCUGCCCUUAGGUUCGGAAUAACUCCCCGAAAGGGGUGCUAAUACCAGAUAAUGUCUUCGGACCAAAGAUUUAUCGCCUUUGGAUGGGCCCGCGUUGGAUUAGCUAGUUGGUAGGGUAAAAGCCUACCAAGGCGACGAUCCAUAGCUGGUCUGAGAGGAUGAUCAGCCACACUGGGACUGAGGCACGGCCCAGACUCCUACGGGAGGCAGCAGUGGGGAAUAUUGGACAAUGGGCGAAAGCCUGAUCCAGCAAUGCCGCGUGAGUGAUGAAGGCCUUAGGGUUGUAAAGCUCUUUUACCCGGGAUGAUAAUGACAGUACCGGGAGAAUAAGCUCCGGCUAACUCCGUG